AAGUGGUAGGAGAGCGUUCUAUUUGCGUCGAAGGUAUACCGGUAAGGAGUGCUGGAGCGAAUAGAAGUGAGCAUGCAGGCAUGAGUAGCGAUAAUUAAUGUGAGAAUCAUUAACGCCGUAAACCCAAGGUUUCCUACGCGAUGCUCGUCAUCGUAGGGUUAGUCGGGUCCUAAGUCGAGUCCGAAAGGGGUAGACGAUGGCAAAUUGGUUAAUAUUCCAAUACCAACAUUAGUGUGCGAUGGAAGGACGCUUAGGGCUAAGGGGGCUAGCGGAUGGAAGUGCUAGUCUAAGGUCGUAGGAGGUUAUACAGGCAAAUCCGUAUAACAAUACUCCGAGAACUGAAAGGCUUUUUGAAGUCUUCGGAUGGAUAGAAGAACCCCUGAUGCCGUCGAGCCAAGAAAAGUUUCUAAGUUUAGCUAAUGUUGCCCGUACCGUAAACCGACACAGGUGGGUGGGAUGAGUAUUCUAAGGCGCGUGGAAGAACUCUCUUUAAGGAACUCUGCAAAAUAGCACCGUAUCUUCGGUAUAAGGUGUGGUUAGCUUUGUAUUAGGAUUUACUCCGAAAGCAAGGAAACUUACAACAAAGAGUCCCUCCCGACUGUUUACCAAAAACACAGCACUCUGCUAACUCGUAAGAGGAUGUAUAGGGUGUGACGCCUGCCCGGUGCUCGAAGGUUAAUUGAUGGGGUUAGCAUUAGCGAAGCUCUUGAUCGAAGCCCGAGUAAACGGCGGCCGUAACUAUAACGGUCCUAAGGUAGCGAAAUUCCUUGUCGGUUAAAUACCGACCUGCAUGAAUGGCGUAACGAGAUGGGAGCUGUCUCAAAGAGGGAUCCAGUGAAAUUGUAGUGGAGGUGAAAAUUCCUCCUACCCGCGGCAAGACGGAAAGACCCCGUGGACCUUUACUACAGCUUGACACUGCUACUUGGAUAAGAAUGUGCAGGAUAGGUGGGAGGCUUUGAGUAUAUGACGCCAGUUGUAUAUGAGCCAUUGUUGAGAUACCACUCUUUCUUAUUUGGGUAGCUAACCAGCUUGAGUUAUCCUCAAGUGGGACAAUGUCUGGUGGGUAGUUUGACUGGGGCGGUCGCCUCCCAAAUAAUAACGGAGGCUUACAAAGGUUGGCUCAGAACGGUUGGAAAUCGUUCGUAGAGUAUAAAGGUAUAAGCCAGCUUAACUGCAAGACAUACAAGUCAAGCAGAGACGAAAGUCGGUCUUAGUGAUCCGGUGGUUCUGUGUGGAAGGGCCAUCGCUCAAAGGAUAAAAGGUACCCCGGGGAUAACAGGCUGAUCUCCCCCAAGAGCUCACAUCGACGGGGAGGUUUGGCACCUCGAUGUCGGCUCAUCGCAUCCUGGGGCUGGAGCAGGUCCCAAGGGUAUGGCUGUUCGCCAUUUAAAGCGGUACGCGAGCUGGGUUCAGAACGUCGUGAGACAGUUCGGUCCCUAUCUGCCGUGGGCGUAAGAAGAUUGAAGAGAUUUGACCCUAGUACGAGAGGACCGGGUUGAACAAACCACUGGUGUAGCUGUUGUUCUGCCAAGAGCAUCGCAGCGUAGCUAAGUUUGGAAAGGAUAAACGCUGAAAGCAUCUAAGCGUGAAGCCAACUCUAAGAUGAAUCUUCUCUAAGCUCUCUAGAAGACUACUAGUUUGAUAGGCUGGGUGUGUAAUGGAUGAAAGUCCUUUAGCUGACCAGUACUAAUAGAGCGUUUGGCUUAUCUUUA
Molecule: ribosomal RNA, 1712 nt
Filed under: Campylobacter jejuni
Lineage: Bacteria; Pseudomonadati; Campylobacterota; Epsilonproteobacteria; Campylobacterales; Campylobacteraceae
Also listed under: 2 other names
Description: bacterial LSU rRNA
Rfam family: Bacterial large subunit ribosomal RNA
Source: RNAcentral